RNAcentral lists this ribosomal RNA (2865 nucleotides) under Wolfiporia cocos. RNAcentral's name for it is "eukaryotic LSU rRNA". It matches the Rfam family "Eukaryotic large subunit ribosomal RNA", at positions 1 to 2774 of the family's 3401-position model. The record is from RNAcentral. Lineage: Eukaryota; Fungi; Basidiomycota; Agaricomycetes; Polyporales; Phaeolaceae.
GACCUCAGAUCAGGCAGGACUACCCGCCGAACUUAAGCAUAUCAAUAAGCGGAGGAAAAGAAACUAACAAGGAUUCCCCUAGUAACUGCGAGUGAAGAGGGAAGAGCUCACAUUUAAAAUCUGGCGGUCUGGCGGCCGUCCGAGUUGUAGCCUGGAGAAGCGUCCUCUGCGCCGGACCCGUGUACAAGUCUCCUGGAACGGAGCGUCGUAGAGGGUGAUAAUCCCGUCGUCGACACGGACCUCCGGUUAGCUAUGCGAGGCGCUCUCGAAGAGUCGAGUUGUUUGGGAAUGCAGCUCAAAGUGGGUGGUGAAUUCCAUCUAAAGCUAAAUACAGGCGAGAGACCGAUAGCGGACAAGUACCGUGAGGGAAAGAUGAAAAGCACUCUGGAAAGAGAGUUAAACAGCACGUGAAAUCGCUGAGAGGGAAACGCUUGAAGUCAGUCGCGUCGGCGUUAGGAGGUCAGCCUUCCCGGGAUAAUAACCGUGGGGCGCACUCUCCCGUCGACGGGCCAGCAUCGAUUUCGACCGCCGGAGAAGGGCUCGGGGAACGUGGCACCUCCGGGUGUGUUAUAGCCCCCUGUCGUAUGCGGCGGUCGGGAUCGAGGUUUUUACAUGUUCGCAGCACGCCUUUUUGGCCGGGGCCGUUCGCGGUCCACGUCCGUGCUUAGGAUGCUGGCGUAAUGGCUUUAAACGACCCGUCUUGAAACACGGACCAAGGAGUCCAACUCGCCUGCGAGUGUUUGGGUGGAAAACCCGAGCGCGUAACGAAAGUGAAAGGUCGAGAACCCCUUUGACCGGGGGGGCACCGACGCCCGGGCCCUUUCAACCCCCUCGAAAGGGGGGGCCCUGGACCCGCGGUAGAGCAUGCGUGUUGGGACCCGAAAGAUGGUGAACUAUGCCUGAAUAGGGUGAAGCCAGGGGAAACCCUGGUGGAGGCUCGUAGCGAUUCUGACGUGCAAAUCGAUCGUCGAAUUUGGGCAUAGGGGCGAAAGACUAAUCGAACCAUCUAGUAGCUGGUUCCCGCCGAAGUUUCCCUCAGGAUAGCAGAAGCUCGCGCAUCAGAUUUACGUGGUAAAGCGAAUGAUUAGAGGUCCUGGGGUCCUUUGCGUCCUCAACCUAUUCUCAAACUUUGAACAUGUAAGAACCGGCCGUCGCUCGAAUGGACGGCCCGGGACGAUUGAGAGCUUCUAGUGGGCCAUUUUUGGUAAGCAGAACUGGCGAUGCGGGAUGAACCGAACGUGAGGUUAAGGUGCCGGAAUGCACGCUCAUCAGACACCACAAAAGGUGUCGGUUCAUCUAGACAGCAGGACGGUGGCCAUGGAAGUCGGAACCCGCUAAGGAGUGUGUAACAACUCACCUGCCGAAUGAACCGGCCCUGAAAAUGGAUGGCGCUCAAGCGUGCUACCCAUACCUCACCGUCGGCGUUAUAGUGACGCGCCGACGAGUAGGCGGGCGUGGGGGUCCUGUGCAGAAGCCCAGGCGGUGACGCCGGGUGGAACGGCCCCUAGUGCAGAUCUUGGUGGUAGUAGCAAAUAUUCAAGCGAGAGCCUUGAAGACUGAAGUGGAGAAAGGUUCCACGGUAACAGCAGUUGGACGUGGGUCAGUCGAUCCUAAGAGAUAGGGAAGCUCCGUUUCAAAGUCGCGCGCUUGUCCGCGCCGCCUAUCGAAAGGGAAUCCGGUUAAGAUUCCGGAACCGGGAUGCGGAGCCUUAGACGGCAACGUAAAUGAGCUUGGAGACGUCGGCGAGGGCCCCGGGAAGAGUUAUCUUUUCUCCUUAACGGCCGCCUCUCACCCUGAAAUCGGUUCGUCCGGAGCUAGGGUGCGACGGUCGGUAGAGCUCGACGCCUCUGUCGGGUCCGGUGCGUCCUCGACGGCCCUUGAAAAUCCAAGGGAACGCAAUCAGCUUUCGCGCCCGGUCGUACUCAUAACCGCAGCAGGUCUCCAAGGUGAACAGCCUCUAGUUGAUAGAACAAUGUAGAUAAGGGAAGUCGGCAAAACAGAUCCGUAACUUCGGGAUAAGGAUUGGCUCUAAGGGUCGGGCGCGUCGGGCCCCGGAUUUCGGAAGCCGCUCGACUUGGCUGGGACUGUCGAGGGGCAACCUUCGACGGACUCGACCGGGUCCUGUCGGUGGAUGGCCGGGGCGGCCUCCUCUUCUCGGGGGGGCGUCCGGCGCGCGCUUUGCGACCGACUUAGAACUGGUACGGACAAGGGGAAUCUGACUGUCUAAUUAAAACAUAGCAUUGCGACGGCCGGAAAGCGGUGUUGACGCAAUGUGAUUUCUGCCCAGUGCUCUGAAUGUCAAAGUGAAGAAAUUCAACCAAGCGCGGGUAAACGGCGGGAGUAACUAUGACUCUCUUAAGGUAGCCAAAUGCCUCGUCAUCUAAUUAGUGACGCGCAUGAAGGGAUUAACGAGAUUCCCACUGUCCCUAUCUACUAUCUAGCGAAACCACAGCCAAGGGAACGGGCUUGGCCGAAUCAGCGGGGAAAGAAGACCCUGUUGAGCUUGACUCUAGUUUGACAUUGUGAAAGGACGUAGGGGGCGUAGGAUAAGUGGGAGUCCUGGUUACGUCAUUGAAAUACCACUACCCCUAUCGUCUUUUUACUUAUCCGAUGAGGCGGAGCUGGGGCCCCAACGGGCUUCACCUUUUUGCUUCAAGGUCCACCCUCACCGGCGGGCCGAUCCGGGUCGGAGACAUUGUCAGGUGGGGAGUUUGGCUGGGGCGGCACGUCUGUUAAAAGAUAACGCAGGCGUCCUAAGGGGGACUCAUCGAGGACAGAAACCUCGAGUAGAACAGAAGGGUAAAAGUCCCCUUGAUUCGGAUUUUCAGUGUGAAUACGAACCGUGAAAGCGUGGCCUAUCGAUCC